UUUUCUUCGGACAACGAGUAAAGUGGCGCACGGGUGAGUAACGCGUAAGUAAUCUACCCUUGCAUUUGGGAUAACUACGGGAAGCUGUAGCUAAUACCAGAUACGUUCAUAGAGUUACGACUCUAUGAAGAAAGAUGACCUCUUCUUGAAAGUUAUCGUGCAGGGAGGAGCUUGCGUACCAUUAGCUAGUUGGUAGGGUAAAGGCCUACCAAGGCAACGAUGGUUAGCGGGUCUGAGAGGAUGAUCCGCCACACUGGAACUGAAACACGGACCAGACUCCUACGGGAGGCAGCAGUGAGGAAUAUUGCGCAAUGGGGGAAACCCUGACGCAGCGACGCCGCGUGGAUGAUGAAGGCCUUAGGGUCGUAAAAUCCUGUCAGAUGGGAAGAAAUGCAUGAGGGAAUAAUACCUCUUAUGUUUGACGGUACCAUCAAAGGAAGCACCGGCUAACUCCGUGCCAGCAGCCGCGGUAAUACGGAGGGUGCAAACGUUGUUCGGAAUUACUGGGCGUAAAGCGCGCGUAGGCGGCUUGUUAAGUCAGAUGUGAAAGUCCACAGCUCAACUGUGGAAGUGCAUUUGAAACUGGCAGGCUUGAGUACUGGAGGGGAUGGUGGAAUUCCCGGUGUAGAGGUGAAAUUCGUAGAUAUCGGGAGGAAUACCGGUGGCGAAGGCGACCAUCUGGCCAGAUACUGACGCUGAGGUGCGAAAGCGUGGGGAGCAAACAGGAUUAGAUAC
RNAcentral lists this ribosomal RNA (735 nucleotides) under uncultured bacterium. Its description in RNAcentral is "bacterial SSU rRNA". It matches the Rfam family "Bacterial small subunit ribosomal RNA", at positions 74 to 785 of the family's 1533-position model. The record is from RNAcentral.